This 1179-nucleotide long non-coding RNA is filed under the name Monodelphis domestica (gray short-tailed opossum). Its description in RNAcentral is "lncRNA (ENSMODG00000049811.1)". Lineage: Eukaryota; Metazoa; Chordata; Mammalia; Didelphimorphia; Didelphidae. The record is from RNAcentral.
GUCAGAGGUUUCUAUGAAGAUUUUUUCUCAGUUUGUUGUUUCCCUUCUGAUUUUAGUUACAUUGGUUUUGUUUGUGCAAAAGCAUUUUAAUUUGAUGUAGUCAAAAUUACUUAUUUUACAUUUUGUGAUUCUUUCUAUGUCUUGCUUGGUUUUAAAGUCUUUCCCCUCCCAAAGGUCUGACAUUUAUACUAUUCUGUAUUAACCCAAUUUACUUAUGGUUUCCUUCUUUAUGUUUAAGUCACUCACUCAUUUUGAAUUUAUCUUGGUGUAAGGUGUGAGGUGUUGAACAAUUCCUAGUCUCUCCCACACUGUCUUCCAAUUUUCCCAGCAGUUUUUAUCGAAGAGUGGAUUUUUGCCCCAAAAGCUGGGAUUUUGGGUUUAUCAUAUACUGUCUUGCUGAGGUCGCUUUCCCCCAGUCUAUUCCACUGAUCUUCCUUUCUGUUUCUUAGCCAGUACCAAAUUGUUUUGAUGAUUGCUGCUUUGUAAUAUAGUUUAAGGUCAGGGACUGCAAGGCCCCCAUCAUAUGUGUUUUUUUUUUUUCAUUACUUCCCUGGAUAUCCUUGAUCUUUUGUUGUUCCAAAUGAAUUUUGUUAUGUUUUUUUCUAAAUCAGUGAAGAAGUAUUUUGGUAGUUCAAUGGGUAUGGCACUAAAUAGAUAAAUAAGUUUGGGUAGGAUGGUCAUUUUUAUUAUAUUGGCUCGUCCUAUCCAUGAGCAGUUAAUGUUUUUCAUUAUUUCCCUGGAUAUCCUUGAUCUUUUGUUCUUCCAAAUGAACUUUGUUAUGGUUUUUUCUAAAUCAGUGAAGAAGUAUUUUGGUAGUUCAAUGGGUAUGGCACUAAAUAGAUAAAUAAGUUUGGGUAGGAUGGUCAUUUUUAUUAUAUUGGCUCGUCCUAUCCAUGAGCAGUUAAUGUUUUUUCCAUUUGUUCAGGUCUAGUUUUAGUUGUGUGGCGAGUGUUUUGUAGUUGUGUUCGUAUAGUUCCUGUGUUUGUCUUGGGAGAUAGAUUCCUAGGUAUUUUAUUUUGUCUAAGGUGAUUUUGAAUGGGAUUUCUCUUUCUAGUUCUUGCUGCUGAGCUGUGUUGGAGAUAUAUAGAAAAGCUGAUGAUUUAUGUGGGUUUAUUUUGUAUCCUGCAACUUUGCUAAAGUUGUUGAUUAUUUCAAUUAGCUUUUUGGUUGAAUCUCUAG